AUGCACGCUGGCGGCGUGCCUCAUCCAUGCAAGUCGAGCGAACAGACGAGGAGCUUGCUCCUUUGACGUUAGCGGCGGACGGGUGAGUAACACGUGGAUAACCUACCUAUAAGACUGGGAUAACUUCGGGAAACCGGAGCUAAUACCGGAUAACAUGUUGAACCGCAUGGUUCAACAGUGAAAGACGGUCUUGCUGUCACUUAUAGAUGGAUCCGCGCCGCAUUAGCUAGUUGGUAAGGUAACGGCUUACCAAGGCAACGAUGCGUAGCCGACCUGAGAGGGUGAUCGGCCACACUGGAACUGAGACACGGUCCAGACUCCUACGGGAGGCAGCAGUAGGGAAUCUUCCGCAAUGGGCGAAAGCCUGACGGAGCAACGCCGCGUGAGUGAAGAAGGUCUUCGGAUCGUAAAACUCUGUUAUUAGGGAAGAACAAAUGUGUAAGUAACUAUGCACGUCUUGACGGUACCUAAUCAGAAAGCCACGGCUAACUACGUG
RNAcentral lists this ribosomal RNA (496 nucleotides) under uncultured bacterium. Its description in RNAcentral is "partial 16S ribosomal RNA". It matches the Rfam family "Bacterial small subunit ribosomal RNA", at positions 29 to 507 of the family's 1533-position model. The record is from RNAcentral.